CGAGUGAGCCGGGCAAUCGCGUGCGCAAGCAUGAGGAAAGUCCGGGCUCCCAAGGGCAAGAUGCCAGCUAACGGCUGGGCGGGGCGACCCGACGGACAGUGCCACAGAAAAGAAGACUCCCCUGCAUGCAGGAGAAAAGCUGAAACGGUGCGGUAAAAGCGCACCAGUGCGUUGGCAACAACGUAGCUUGGUAAACCCCAUCUGGAGCAAGCGCAAAUAGGAAUGCCAUACGGCCGCCCUUCCGUGCAUUCGGGUUGCGU
Molecule: non-coding RNA, 260 nt
Filed under: Eggerthella sp. CAG:209
Lineage: Bacteria; Bacillati; Actinomycetota; Coriobacteriia; Eggerthellales; Eggerthellaceae
Description: Bacterial RNase P class A
Rfam family: Bacterial RNase P class A
About the family: Ribonuclease P (RNase P) is a ubiquitous endoribonuclease, found in archaea, bacteria and eukarya as well as chloroplasts and mitochondria.
Source: Rfam by way of RNAcentral